GAUGAAGAACGCAGCGAAACGCGAUAAGUAAUGUGAAUUGCAGAAUUUAGUGAAUCAUCGAACUUUUGAACGCACAUUGCGCCCGGCGGCACUCCGCCGGGCAUGCCUGUCCGAGCGUCAUUAUACUGCCCUCGACUCCCUGAGUCGGUGUUGGGAGCCUCUGCCACCUAUGCGCAGCUCCCCAAGUCCACUGGCGUCGCGCCAACGGUGCCCCUGCGUAGUAAUUUCACCUCGCUCGGGACCUAGGCGCCGGCUGCCUUCUCUCUCUCUGACAGCAGGGCUCUCGAGUCCCGCUCUCGCACAGUUGACCUCGGAUCAGGUAGGGUUACCCGCUGAACUUAAGCAUAUCAAUAAGCGGAGGA
This 362-nucleotide unclassified non-coding RNA is filed under the name soil metagenome. Its description in RNAcentral is "partial contains 5.8S ribosomal RNA, internal transcribed spacer 2, and large subunit ribosomal RNA". The stretch from base 1 to 120 matches the Rfam family "5.8S ribosomal RNA", at positions 35 to 154 of the family's 154-position model. The record is from RNAcentral.